Long non-coding RNA from Equus caballus (horse), 9861 nucleotides. The record is from Ensembl. NCBI's taxonomy places the organism in Eukaryota, Metazoa, Chordata, Mammalia, Perissodactyla, Equidae.
CCAGACACCACCUGCCUCCUACAGAGGCGUCCUCUCGGGCCCUAUUGGCCGGACCUGGGUCAAAUGCCCUCUUUGCCUUCAGCCAAUCCUAGCAAAGUGGAAGGGGAGGACCGUGACUGAUUCCCUCCAGUCAAGAUUCAUUCCCUGGGAAUGGGCCACUCUCUCUGAGCACAUGGCAUCAGGAGACCAGAACGAUUUACAUUUUAUUUUUUGAUAUUACCGUUAUUCAGUGUAGAAGGAAGAAAUGACUGCUGGGGAAAAUACCAACAAUGUUUGCAACAGGAGGCAAGGAGGUCAAGGACCAAACGUCCAGGUGUAGAUAAUGGGUUGUCACUGUGGAUGUAGAAGUCACCGAAAUGACGACAGGGGUGUGGUGGUGCCAGCAGUGAGCGGGGCUAAAGUCUUCGCAGAGGACCACAGCGAUGGGGAAGGGGCAGACAACUGCAUCGGAGGGGUGAUGUGUGCCGUCCAGGAAGGUGCUUCCACCUUCUCAGAUGGGCAGCCUACUCCCUCGGUUGUCCCGGGCCCCUGGCGUGAGGACCGUGAGGACCGUUCCUCUUCUUUGAGUCUGCCUCCUCUGUCCUUGCCCCAGGCCGCAUGCAGCCCGCCCAGCCUGCGCUCGAGCUCCCUUUCCCGGGGUCCGUCCUCAGAACCCACCGUCAGAUGGGAAAAGCUGAGGAGCAAAGGGCUCAGUCCCGGCGUCAGGAUCCAGGCAUGCUUAGGGUCAUGGAAACUCCUGGGUAAAGCUUCGGCGAUGGGCGGGGCUCCAGGGAGGACCCAUACCAGGUGACAAAAAAGCCUGCUCCCUGCUGGCUCGCAGAUCCACGAGGGUCCUGCGUGCAUGAGGUUGGGCUGCCCUGCGUGGGCGGGUAACCGCCCCCACAUCCAGUGAAACGUGGGCUCUGCGAUGAAGGGGAGAGAGCUGGCUGCCGCUAGGGGCAAAGGAUGGGGGAUGGCGUCGGGCCAGUGGCUCAGGAGGGCAGUGACAGCUGCCUGGAGAUUUGCCGGCCGAGUUGCCUGGUGAUUAGCCACACUACCAAGACUGAGCUGAGAGCCACGUGGUGAUUGGCCAGGGGUGCGGCUGUGACAUCAGGAGGAGGGCAUUGUGACGCACAGGGAGGUUAUAAAAGCCGGGUGCCCGCCGCAGGCCUCACUGAGGGGACAGAUGGCGCCUCCCCCGAGCUCCUCCUGUUCUUCACAGUGUACUACACCGCCUUCUCCAGCCCAGGGGAUGGCCCACCCCUGGCCCGCUUGUCCUGCAGGGGCCUCUCGCGCACCUUGCGCUCCACCUUCAGGUCGGUCGGCCUCUGGCGCCUCGGCGGUGCCGCAAGCGCCUGCACUGGCACCCGGCGCCUCAGCAGCCUGCGCCCCGCAGCUGGGUGUCCCCGUUCUGCAGGGGGAAGUCAUGUGCGUGGAAUCAGAGCACAGCGGCUCCUCGCCCAGCCGGAGAGGGCCCCUCCCAGACCCACAGCGUCGCAACCGGGUUCAGCACAGGGGGCUCGAGUUCCUCGGACACUCAACAGACAUCCCACCCACCUCAGCAAUGGGUGAAUGAGGCUGCUGGACACCUGGUCAAUUGCGAGCCCCCACCCCAGCUCAACACAGAGCAAGCGAGUCCCCCAGACACGCAGCCCACCCCAGGAGGGCGCAGAAAAGGAGCCGGGGCGGAAUGUGGGCCCCCUCCUUGAGUGGAGGUGAUGUGAGCUUCACAAUGUAUGUGAGUUUUAAACUGUGUUGAAAUGCAAAAGAAGUGUCCCCGAGUGAUUGCGAUGUACAGCUCAGGGUCACAGGCACUGCACGUCCCAUGAGUCGUCACAUUCUCCAGCUGGUCGGUCCCGACAGGGCCAGUGUCUGAUCUGACUCAGAGCAGAGCCGAGGUGGACAGGGGUCUCCACAGCUCUGAGAAAGUGCCCGUGAACUAUAGAGAGCUGACACUGAGGACAACCUGCCCCUCCCCGUCAACACUUUUCAUACAUGUUGACGACACUGAAAGUCAAAGCUGCACUGAGGUGGGCGCCGUUCUGAUAAAUAGAAAAGCAAAAGCAGUGUCCGCACCGGCUGUUUCUUCCCAGACCACUUCUGGCCGAGACCUCCCAGCCAGUUUGUGGCAGACGUGGGCUCAGACCCGGAUGGGACCGCUCCAAGCUGCUUCGGCCCGCAGCAGGUGUCAUUUCCCAGGAUCCCCUGAGGGAGCCCAGGCUGUGGGGGCAAGCAAGGAUGGGCCAGUUCCACGAUGGGCUAGAGCGCUGCACUAACGUGAGAUGGGACGCACGUUCCCCACCUAUCCACUCCCCCCAAUUUCCUGCUUGUGAAUGACCUCUGCCCUCAUCCCCACCACCAAAAUGUAGUCGCAGAGGGAAAAUAGCCUGGUAGUCACCUCACCUGGAAGCCCCAAGGGCCAGUCUCUCCCUCUCCCUGCAUCAGCCUGGACCUGAUGUGUGGUGCUCCCACAUCCACCUGGGCGCUCCCUCAGGGAACUAGAGCCUUCACCAGCCAUUCCAGAACCAGGAUUCUCAUGGAGGGUUCUCCUUCCAGGCGGCCACCAGGGCCAUGCCCACACCCAGCCCAGCCUCUUCCAGGCUGCAAGCCUCAGGUACCUCCAAUAGAUUCCUUCUUGCUCAGAUUAUCCAAGGCCAGGCUCUUUGACCCAGGUGAUACAGAGCUGUGAAAUAAGUUGACUUUUCAUGUCACCCAAAUUAGACAGAAUGAGGGGAAUACCCUUGUUCCCCACAAAGCGUGGAUCAGGCAUUUCAACCCAAGUCUGUCUAUACCCAGAGUGUCUCCCCACAUGGUCAAUCAUAGCUGGCCCCACAGAUGGGGCAGUCUGUUUAUUCAGGGCUAAUCAAAAUAUAUCUUUGGGAAACUCUUAUGCCAAACGUAACCCUGACCCCUUUCUACACCAAAACGGGUUUCCUGAAAUGAAAAUGGUGGCCUGAACCACAUUCUCAAAGUCAGGGGUUUCAAUCCAGAAGACUUCUUCGGCUGAACUGAAGGUGAGCUCACCGUGUUCAUCUCACGCUCCUCAGUGUGGCAGCGGUGGGAGGCCUGGACUGGAGUGGGUAGCCCAGGGUGCAGCUGCAGCGAUGCCCCAGAUGCAGCUGCUGGACUCAGGGUUCUGUGGGUAUUGUGGGACAGUCAGCCUGGAGGGAGCAUCGCUGUGCAGAGCCUUGUAGAUGCCCCUGCCUUUGUAGACAUCUGCUUUCUUUUAUGAAAACAAGUGCAACUAGGCGGGCUGAGCCCUCUGUCCAACAUGGCAAAACGAGAGAUCAGAUUCAACGACAUGGGACCCAGGAGAAGAGGUGCCGGCUCUCUGGGCAAAUCACGGAAGUAAAGCUGAUGUUUCAAUACUCCAUUUUUGAAUAUCAGAUUUUCUAAUGCAAAUGUAAAAUAUAAUGUAUUCAUAUAACAGUUUGCAGUAAACUGUGUUUCCUACACCUCGGCAGGAAGGAAGACGUCCCCCCAUUUCUGCCCUGAUUGUCCCUGCUGUCCCCCUUGCUCUCCGCCAUCUGCACUCAGGGCCCUGAGGCGGCCUCUGUCCUGCUGGCCACAGGGAAAUGGAAUGGAUGUGUAGUAAUUUCUGAAUCAGAGCAACAUAGAUGUUGCUAAAAACACGAAAUGAGUUGAAAGAAGAGGCAGCAGAGAGGGAUGGAAGCUGAGGACUCUGUCCAUCGUCCACCCAUUUGACAAGGAUGACCGCAGGGCUUCUCCCGGCUUCAAGGGCAGGGGCCGUGCUGGGCACGGGGCGCAGAGGGGGCCUGGGUCUGUGAGACAACGCUACACGAACCUCACAGAGACGGUCACCCCAACUCCCCACCUGCUCUUCCUUCCAGUUGCUUACGCCCCAAAGUGUCAUCCUGCCCCCUCCUCCCCGCACAGCCCCCCACGGAGGCAUGCUAGCGGGUUGGCACCUUUCUAUUUUCAGAAAUAAGAACAUGAAGCUCAGUUCCGUUCACACUGUCACCACCUCAUCUAAGGAGGGAGAUUUUCCCACCCCCUAGGAAGGACACAACUUCAGAGAAAAGCCAGUCCCUUCCGAGAAACAGGGACAGGUGGCUGAUUGUCCAGGCCAGGCCCCUUUGAGGGUGAAGGGACGUUCCCCACCAUCAUAGGACAGGGGGACAACAGGCCUCACCAGUGGUCAGGCACAGAGGAUGUGCAGUCACCUGCCAGGAGAGGGCGCUGGGACGCAGGUGCCCUGCGGAGCCUGCUGUCCUGGAACCCACACGGAGAAGGUGCCUCAGGGGAACAGGUGUGGUCAGUGUGUCACUUGCUGAGGGGCCAGGAUGGGGGCACAGUGCGCACCAGCUGGUGGGGGUCAGGUGGUCCUGCUGGUCCCCUUGUGUCCCUCUUGCUGGUUCCGUGGGUCGCCCCCAGCUGCUGCAUCGUGGGCCCCUGCAGGCUCCUGCAGAGGACUGCCCUACGUGACGUGCCACUUAGGCCCAGGUGCAGGGAGUGGAAGCGACGGGCACUCAGGCUGCCCCCAGGUCUCCCGAGCCUUUGAGCCUUCGGCUGGCUGGCACUGGAGGAGGCAGGUGUAACUUGUGCCCAGGGCCCCACAGGAUCAGAUGGCACACACACACCACGUGGCCUCUGGGGUGCUGUGCAGUAGACCUGGCCCACUGGGAAGCAGCCCGCCAGCCCAGACCGCUUUCCACACUUAGGACGCCACCAAUCGGCGGCAAACGGGUUGAGCCUGGAGGAGAAAGCUCUCCCUACAGAGCCACAGCAGGUGUCCUGGAUGGCCAAGGGCUCUGCCCCAGGAUCUGUGCGCUCCUUCCACACAGUGGAACGAGUGGGACGGAGACGGGUGGAUCGGCAGGUGAAGGAUUUCCCACCUUCUGUGAUGAACAGGUAGCUGUUUGAACUACUCUGGUGUCCUCUAUUUAAAUAAGCUAAACUUCCCCUGCUUGUCACCAUCUCUGGUCUCAUGUUUCUACAACCACUUGAUCAUUUAGGAAAUCUCUUGGGUGACCUGUGACCAGUCAAGCCCUCAGCCGGCCUCAGGUCAGGUCACCUGCUGGUUGCAGGAGGAGAACUUCCUGGGCUGGGCUGCCUCCACCCCUGCUGAGGGGGCAGCUGCUGCCUCUGACGCCCUGUGUGCCCAGCUUCUGAGAGAACGGGGUCUCGGCAGUGCUGAGAGCCAAAGUCAGAGGCUCACACACCCCGAGCCAGGUCAGCCCCUUGGCCCUCAUCCCCCCUCAUCCCCAAACAGAGCCAGCCGGGACCCUGCAGGGGCUCCAGAACCAUCAGCAUCGGCACCACGGGAAUGCGGACCCGCCCGGGACCAGGAUGUCCCACCCUCAGAGCAGUCAGGGGUGGGGCCGGAGGAAAUCCAGGACAAAACAUUUGGAGAUGGAGUGUGGUAACAGCUGCUGACCUGUCCACCAGGCAAGACCCUCCACCUGCAAAAAGAUUAUGACUCAUUAACAGCUCAGAUGGUGGUUAGCAUUUUUCAGCAAUAGAAUUUUUUAAUUAAGAUGUGUACAUUGCUUUCUUAGGUAUAGUGCUAUUGCACACUUAAUAGACUACAGUGUAAUAUAGACAUAACUUAUACGCACUGGGAAACCAAAAAAUUCGUGUGACUGGCUUUAUUGCGGCGGUCUGGAACUGAACCCGUAAUAUCUCCAAGGUGUGCCUGUAUUCGGUCGGCCAAUCCCCAAACACCAAGCCAACUCUGGCCCUUCUCACGCCAGACAAGGUUGACUAUGUGGCCACAGCCAAUCAGAUAUUUUCUAUUUGUCUCUUCCUUGUUCUUUAUUCUUUAUCCUAUAAAAUCUUCUUGCCUUCUGCUCCAUUGUGCAGUUCUCCUGAGGGAGACUGUCCACUUCAUGAUGUGUUAAAUAAAGUUUGUCUGUAUCACCUAAAUUGUCCUCUUUAAUCUCUUUUUUAACACAGAUUAGGGAUGCCACAGGAGAAAAUUAUGUGUGACGUGAAAGGAGGAAGUCAAGCAGUGGCCACUACCCUUGCAGGGGAACGUGGGAAGCCAGGCACUAUGAAACCUGCAUACGUCACUGACCUGCUGUCCCCUCGGCCCCUUGUCUUGUGUCAGGUGAGGGUCUGCGGCCAUGUGGUAAGGUCCCAGCCUCUUCUACAGGUUGCCUGCAUUAAUGAAGCUGAAGGGACACAAGACAGACAUGAUAUGUUUGCCUUCAGGGGCUCCAGGUUGUCCCUGGAUGUGCCAGCCUGUCCUUGCUCUCCCCCACUUCAGACCCAGACUCAAUGGCCUUCCACAGGCUUUUCACUAUUGCCUUGUCACUUACAAAGCUUCUACUUCUAUGAUUGAACUCUGAUACAGAAUCAUACACCUGUGUAUCUCCCUGUCUUAGCUAGAGACUGAUUGUUUGUAGAGAACAUAACCUUCUCAGUCUAGCUUUCUUUAAGGAAAGGUAUUCCAAAAAGAAAAACGGGCAAACCACUUGAAAAGGUACUUUACAAAAGAAGAUACUAAAUCUCUAAUAAAUACAUGAAAAGGCACUCAACUCAUUAGGGAAAUGCAAGUUGAAACCCUAAUGAAGUAGCACACCCACCGGAAUGGUGAAAAUUAAAAAGAAUGGCGAUUCUACAUGUUCACAAGGAUGUGGAACGACUAGAACUUGCAUACCCAGCAAUUCCACUCCCAAGACACCACAGAGAAAUGAGAGCAGAUAGCCACCAAAAGGUAAAUACAACAAUGUUCACACCAGUUUAUUGGUUAAUAUUAAAAAGAAAAAACUGGAAACAACCCAGUGUCCGUCAGUGAAUAAUGAACAAAUAAAUAAAUUGUGGUGUACUCAUAUAAUGGAAGACUACACAGCAGUUUAAAAAAAUCUAAAACUGUUGACACACAACAUGGAUGAAUGUCACAGAAACUUAGUUGAGUGAUGGAAGAUAAGUGCCACACAGCAGUCUCGACUCAUUCCUCCUGAAUGAGUGACUAGCUGGUGCUGAAGAGGACCUGAAGCUACGACGUGCUCACAUCGAUGUGAAGACAAAAGCCAGUGCCCAACAUGUUUCCAUCAACAAGCUGAUGCCCCUUGGAAGCUCGCUGGAUGUUCUUUUAACCUGUUCCACCUGGACAGCUGGGGAGAUGUGGCAGGACUUGAGGUCUGGAUUCAGGACUCCACCCUCAGAGGGUUCUCUGCUCAGUCCAAUUCAGGCCAUAAGACUCAAGAACCAGACAUUCUGUUUAAUUCCAGUUCGAAUUGCCUCCCCCCAGCUCUCCUAGAGGCCUAGGAUUUUGAAGAUCAGAAGCCAGAAAAGCUGACAGGCUAUUCUAUUUUCAGUCACACCACAUGCCUUGCUAAUCCCUUGAAGUACUAAGUGAGUACUGUGAAAGUGAGUACUGCUUGAAUGGAGGAGAAAAAAAAGGAAGAAAAUACAGGAAUAUGUUUGUUAAGUAAGUGUGUUGGGGCACAAUUCUAAGAUGACCCCACGUGACCCUUGCGCUUGUACAAUGCCCCUCUGUGAGUGGGUAGAACCCGUGAACACGAUGAGAUAGCACCUCUGGGACUGGGUUACGUUGCACUUGAAGAUAGGGAGAUCGUCUGGGGAGCCUGGCCUGAUCACACGAGCCCUGGGAAAGUAGCUUUCUCUGGCUGGCGGCAGAAGAAGAGGCAGGGAUUCAAAGUCUGAGAGUGAUUCCAAGCCAGGGAGGGUCUCCAGCGCUGCCUUUGAAGAUGGAGGGGGCCACAUGGUAGACCUCUGGGAGCUGAGAGGACCCCCACCUGACAGCCAGCCAGGAAGUGGGGCCCUCAGUCCUACAGCCACAGGAGUGGAAUUCUGCCUCAACAUGUCAGCUUGGAAGAGGGUCCGAGCCUGAGACAAGACCCGGGCCCAGCUGACCCCUUGACCGCAGCUUCAGGUGAGCUGAGAACCUGCUACACUGACCUGCAAGAAUUCUGACCUGUAAGCUUACCAGUGGAUGUUUUAAGUCACUAAGUCUGUGGUAUUUUGUUACUCAGCAACUGAAAAUUAAUACAAUAAGUUACAAUAUGAAAAUAUUGUCCAAACGGAUGUGUUUUGUCUGGCCUGGUUUAUCUACAUUGCAUGCCCCCUGCCAACAAUUAUUUCUCAAAGGGAAGAGGCUGAUGGUUUAAGGGGCUCAGUAUGUAGCCCACCAGACGCCAGGCUCCAGUGACACUAAACAGGCUCCCGGGUCAGCUGCUGCUGGCUCCCAGUGCCCUAGAAAGCUUCUGUUAAGGGACAGAGCCACAUUCAGGUGUCCCGAGCAGCAGGUGACUUCUGCAGAAAGCAAUAUUUAAAAGUCUCACCGUGCCAUUUAAGACUCUUGUGGUGAAAAGGAGAAAACUGAGUGUCAGGAAACCCAGCUCUGCCAUUAGCCAGCUGAGCAAAUGUGGGCAAGUUGCUUUACCUCUCUGAGCCACAAUGCCUCAUCUAGAAAAUGAGAGACACAGACUAGGUGGUCUCAAAGGCCCAUUAAGACCUUUCAUGCUUCCAUUUAACAAAUGCUUGCUGAGGUCCUAGUAUGUGCCAGGUCCUGAGCAAGGCGCUGGGAACACAGCUGUGAAUUAGACAGAACCUGUGCCCUCACUGGGCUCCGAUUUCCCAUGGGAGUAUUUGACAGUCCACACAGGGAAGAGAGGACUCCCACUUAGAAAACAGUGGGUGUUUUAGGCUGCCACAGUCCCCACUAGCUUCAUCCUGCCUUUUCCGGGUGACGUCUCAGCUCGGGCCCACCACACCAGGCCAUGAAGUCCUCACACACCGAAACCAGAGGAGAGCCGCAACGGUCCGGUGCAAUUUGGAAGAAGAAAGGCUUGAGGAAGGGCAGAGACUCCAGCUCAUUCUACUGCAGGACUUUGGGCAAAACCCGCCCUUCAUUUCAUUUGGCCACUGAAGGACUAAUCAAAAAUAUUUAGAAUCAAUACCAACCUUUGAUUAGGUCAAAAUUGUUAAAGAGGCAACUUGUUCUCAGCUAGCUGCCAACUAAUUUUGAUUAAAGCGAGAGCCAAUAGCUCGACACUUUUAUGGAAUUUCAGAAUCUCUGGGGAAGUGCCCUGAAGGGUAAAGCCGUCUCAGAAAUCUCUCUACCACCUUCUUGCCAAGUGGUUUUCCAACUCUCCUCAAGCUCACUGCUUUCCUGGGCAGCCCUUGUGGACCAUGCUGUUUUGGAAAGCUGGGUCUUUCCCCAAGCUGAGACCUGGGUCCUGGCAGGCUUUUUCCUAUCGCCCUGCUCGGCUCUCCUGUGUGUGCACAUAAGCCAGUGUCCUCUUCACGUGAAUCCCUGUGGAGGGCUGCUUUCCUAUCGUACUUUCUUCCUCCAAGUCAGGUGGCCAUGGUUCUUCCAUCCAUUUUUCCAGUUUUGUGACCUUGAGUCCCCUCAUCAUUCGCUCUCCUGCAGACACUGCUGGCUCACCAGUCCCCUCCAUGGAGUGUGGUGUCCAAAACCCAGCUAUGUGUGGUUUUUCACUAAUUAGAUCAGGUUGGUCCACUUCCUGGAUGUGGUACGUUGGUUAGUGCAAACUAAUACUGUAUUAGUUCAUGUUAGCAACCAAUCACAGAUAGCCCACAACUAAGCAGCUAAAACCCCAAAGUCCUUUUUCAACAGGAUUAUUUUGAUGGGAAGUGAUAAGACACAACUCAAACUGAUGCUGAAAAGGAAAUUUCUUGGCUCACCUUACUUGUGAAUUUCAAGGGUUGAAUGUAGCUUUAUGCAAGGUCUGUCUGCAGCCGGGUCUUUAAUGAAAGUGCCGCAGUUCUGUCUGUCUGUCUCUCUCCACGCCAUGCCCCGGUUCUGCUGCCUCAAUUGGGUCUGAUACUCAGUCAAGUCCUCUCCAGAGGGAACCAAUGGCCCCAGUUGCUCCAGCCUCCCAUCCUACCAGCAGGUUAGCACCCCCAGUGAAAGAGUGCCUCUUUCCCAAG